UCCGUCCGGGUCCGUGGUUGCGUCGUCGGGACGCCCGGGUCCACCCGGGCGGUCAGUCGACAAGCCGAUGCCAGUCGCAGGCGAAACGGUCCACGUAACCACACAAGGGGGACCUGCCCCCUGGCCUCCUCGGGGGGUCCAAGGGGGGCGAAGCCCCCUUUGUCCUCCUCGGGGGGUCCAAGGGGGGCGAAGCCCCCUUUGUGUGGGAUCACGGUGCGGCUUAGUGGUAAGCCCUGCCUCGACCCCGUCGCCAGAUGCGGCGAAGGUCGGGAGAAGGUCAGUAGUGGCAGUCAAGCUGCGAGCACCUCAGCAGGCGGUUGUGGGGUCGAAGACCAGGUCGGCCGGACGGA
RNAcentral lists this non-coding RNA (350 nucleotides) under Nocardioides sp. JS614. RNAcentral's name for it is "raiA RNA". It matches the Rfam family "raiA RNA". Lineage: Bacteria; Bacillati; Actinomycetota; Actinomycetes; Propionibacteriales; Nocardioidaceae. The record is from Rfam by way of RNAcentral.